Molecule: unclassified non-coding RNA, 270 nt
Filed under: Bombus terrestris (buff-tailed bumblebee)
Lineage: Eukaryota; Metazoa; Arthropoda; Insecta; Hymenoptera; Apidae
Description: misc RNA ENSBTSG00005024715.1
Source: RNAcentral
GCAGUAUUCGUGAUGUCUCGGAUAUCGAUCUUUUUCUCUAAGAUGUUUCCUGAUUGGAUGCAACGCCCGACAUAGGAUGAAAGCCUGCGUGAAAUGGAUUUUUGGGUUUGGAGAAGCCUCUGUUGCUAGUAAUUAUCGAAAGGGUUACAUCUUUCGUCGUCCCACGCGGCGUCGUACCAAUUCGAUUUGUAACUGUGCUUUCUGCUGCCUCUAAAUUGAGUUACAGAACAUUAGCGGUGAAUCGACCCUGCCACCAGACAGCACGUGUCC